UACGAAGGGGGCGAGCGUUGUUCGGAUUUACUGGGCGUAAAGGGCGCGCAGGCGGCGCAUUUUGUCAGGCGUGAAAGCCCCGGGCUUAACCUGGGAACUGCGUUUGAUACGGAUGGGCUAGAGUUCGGGAGAGGAGAGUGGAAUUCCCAGUGUAGAGGUGAAAUUCGUAGAUAUCGAGAGGAACACCGGUGGCGAAGGCGGCGACCUGGACGAUGACUGACGCUGAGACGCGAAAGCGUGGGGAGCAAACAGG
This 253-nucleotide ribosomal RNA is filed under the name uncultured bacterium. RNAcentral's name for it is "partial 16S ribosomal RNA". It matches the Rfam family "Bacterial small subunit ribosomal RNA", at positions 524 to 776 of the family's 1533-position model. The record is from RNAcentral.